AUUGGAAGGUCAAUCUUAAAUGCUGUAUAGGAGGAUCUCAUUGAGAAGAUAUCAUUUGAGCAAAGAUGUAAAGCAAGGGAGGGAAUGAGUCAGUGGCUACAUAGGGAGAGUGUCCUAGGCAGAGGAAACAGCUUCUACAAAAGCCCUGAAGCAAGAGAAUGUUUGAAGUGUUCAAGAAUAAACAGGAGAUGCAGAAUGAAUGGAAUUGAGAGUGAGUGAGGCAGUCGGAUACAAGAGAGACUAAUAUGGGGCAGCACUGAAGACUGCUGACAGCAGCCACAUGAGUGAGCUCAGAGUGGACACAACAGCCCCUUCAGAGGCUGCAGGGAUGGCAGACAGCCUGACUGCAAUGUCGUGAAAGAUGCUGAGGCAGAACCAUGCAGCAAAGUCAUUCCCAGAUUCCUGACUCUCAGAAAAUGUGUGAGAUAAUAAAUGCUAUUAUUUUAAGCUGCUAAA
This is a long non-coding RNA of Pan troglodytes (chimpanzee), 456 nucleotides long. RefSeq lists it as uncharacterized. Lineage: Eukaryota; Metazoa; Chordata; Mammalia; Primates; Hominidae. The record is from RefSeq and is a predicted model, not a curated record. The transcript has 2 exons.